Molecule: long non-coding RNA, 143 nt
Organism: Neomonachus schauinslandi (Hawaiian monk seal)
Lineage: Eukaryota; Metazoa; Chordata; Mammalia; Carnivora; Phocidae
Exons: 3
Source: RefSeq, a predicted model, not a curated record
AGAAGUUCCUGAGGACCCCUGCUGUGUAGGCUGGCUGGCAUCGGUGGCAAUGAGGUUCCUAUAGAAAUCUGUAGAUAGUUGUUCACUUCGAAUUAAGCAAGAGGACGAAAACUAUUCAUUUGGAUCCAAGGUCUGCCUGUAUA